AAUACAAAUUCAUACUUGGGAUUGAACUGACUCAGGUGCAGGACCUUGCAUUUGGCUUUUUUGAACAUGAUGAGCUUUGCACAAGCCCACCUCUCAAGCCUGUCCAGGUUCAUCUAGAUGGCUUCCCUUCCUUCUGUUGUAUCAACUGCACAACACAGCUUGGUAUCAUUGGCAAACCUAUUGAGGGUGCACCCAAUCCCAUUGUCCAUUUCACUGACGGAGAUGUUAAAUAAUACCAUUUCCACUACAGACCCAUGAGGGAAACCACUUGUCACCAGUCCCCAACUGGACAUCGAGCCAUUGACUGCUCCUUUCUCAAUGUGUCCACCCAGCCAAUUCCUUUCCCACCAAGUGUUCCAUUCAUCAAAUCAAUGUCUCUCCAAUUUUGAGACAAGAAUGCCACAUGGGACAGUGUUAAAUGCUUUUCAGAAGACCAGAUAGAUGAUGGCAGUUACUCUUCUCCCAACCACCAAUGCUGUAACCACAUUGUAGAAAGCCACCAGAUUUGUUAGGCAUGAUUUGCCCCUAGAGAAGCCACCUUGGCUGUCACCAAUAACCUCUUUGUUUUCUAUGUGCCCUAGCAUAGUUUCCAGGAGGAUCUGCUCCAUGAUCUUGCCUGGCACAGUGGUGAGACUGACUGGCCUAUAGUUCCUUUAGUUGUCUUUUUUUCAUUCUUUAAAAGCUGGGGUUAUGUUUUCUCUUAUGAUGGAUAGCGGCUUAGCAACUUCAUCUGUCACAUCACCACAACAGACUCUGCACAGCAAUGCAAAUUAAGAUACGUUUCCAUAACACUGCAUCUCAUCCAGGCCCUUGAAAGAUUAUUAUCCUCACAGAAAAUAAUUAUCUUUGACAAUUGAAACAUUAGACCUUUUAGGAGAGUGACCGUUUAAAUGUGGUUUAAAUGUGGUUUAUACUGACCUGAUUAUCAAGUAAUUUCAGAUGGCAAUAUGACCUAUUCAGGAGCAUAUGUAAAUAAUGUACUUAAUUUCAGGCAUAUGUUUCAAUCCUAGCCUCUUUCAGAGGAAAUGAACAUAUGCUUGAAUAUUUUGAUAAAAUGGGAUUUUCUCAAUACUGACCUCAGUGAGCCGUCAACAAGCAAUCAGAAAUGGGGAAGGUGCCCUGUUACCUGCUCCUUCAGCUCACCACACACCACUGCAGAACACCCUCUGCUGGGAACUGUGUAAGCACAGCUGAAGGUAAAGGCACAAGUAAAAUUUGGGCAGGAUGUGGACCUUUUUCACAAUAUUAAAUCCUUUUACUUAUUUACUUAUUUAUUUUCACCCACAGUACUGCCCAAAUUGUUUUAAACUGAUGCCUUUUACUUUAACAGAUAGCAGAAAAAGCCUGUGAGCUCAUAUUCAGAGUAGUCUUUUUUUUUUUUUUUUCCCAGUGAUUAUUAAAGCACUGUUUAAAAAAAUCUGUAACUGUCAGAAGAAAGACUUUGCAAACCAAGCUGAACAUAAAUGCUUACUUACACUAUACUGUAAAGUCACUUCCAUCUACUAAAUACUUGCAUUUUGUCAUUUGACAACAUAUGUUAUUUAAGCCAUAGUUUAAGAGUCAUGGUCAUAUUUGUGCGUUCUCUUCGGGCCUCACUAAUUGCAAAGUGAAAUAGCCUCAGCAGUAAAGGAAUGCUUUUCUGAUCUGUUUUGUUUUGCCUCUUGUUUUUGUUUCCUAUUAAUAUACAGACACUGUUUAAGACACAGGCAUGAGUUCAUAUCCCUCUGACAAGUGUGGAAAAGUAAGCUUAUGUGUACUUUAUUGUGACUGACUGCUUUAACCCUUUGAACCCCACCUCUGAUAUUCAACUUCCUUAGAACAACAGAGCACAAUAGGUCUUCUCUGUUAGUGUCUAACUGACAGUAUCCUUUCUGCAAAUACUGUAGAGAAAAAUCUAGAUCGUGAAGCCUGAGAGGGCUUAGUCUAAGAUCAGUGCUUCACUCAUUAGUAAGUCCCAAAGCAGAACUUUAGGUACCAUGAGAGCUUUAAUUUUGGAAACUUAGAGCUCUGCAGACUUCACGUGUGAGUAGGCAGCUGCAAAGCAGAUAUUUAAAGCAUCUGUGUUUUGUAUUUCAGUUCCUAAAUGCUGGUUAUGUCCCAUUUUAGAUGCUUACGCCCUUUUGACAAUGUCACCUAUAAAACUGAAAUCUCAAAGGUAUAGAGAGUUCUGUGAGAGUGUCAGUCUCUCACUGGGUUAAACAGAAAUUUGCUAUCUAUCUUUGCUAUCUAUCUUUGAGCAUUACAGCUUUAGGAUGCUAAAUCUUAUUGAGAAGCAUGGCACUUAGAUUCUUAAAUACCUCAGCAUUUCAUAAAAAGAGAGUUUAGCUGUGCAAGAAAUUGGGGCUAGUUUUACCUUUUUAGGUAUCCAACUGGCUAGCAGAAACUAAUCCUUGGAACUGAAUUAGAUGCCCGAAGCGAAGUCCCUGUAAAAUGCUGUGUAGUAGACAGGCAUCUGAGGGAAAGGUAUAUCUGUAUUAUGUUUGUUACAGAGUUCCACAGUGUAGAAAUACCAAGCUUGGGUACUGAAGCAGCCCACUGUACUCCAUGUUAUCCAGGCUAAUGUACCUUGAGAAUAUAGGCUCUCUGCAGUAGCACACAAGAUCGUUUAGAGUGUACUUUGAUAUCUUCACAUAGCACUGUCGGACUCUGCACUAAAGCCAGAUCCUGUAAAUGGGACUGAAAAAAAUCCACAUGGUUCUGAGUAAGGACCUGAUUAAGCCACUAUAGAGAACACUGAAUAGAAGUGGGAAUAAACUCUCCUCCUUGAAGGUCAGAGUAAGGCAUGUAUCUUUACUUUUGGAUUACACACGAAAGCCAGGUCAGGUCUUUCCAGAGAAAGAGCUAGUUCCUACCUCUUAUAUCCAGUGUUAAAUGAUUUUGGUUUUCAAAUCCUUCACUGGCCUGUUUUCAAACUGAUUUGCAGCCACCAGACAGCUAAACUAUUUAGUUCCAUGGGGCCUGUCUUUUCUUAGUCUCUCUUGUUUUUACUCUGCUCUUUCUUCUUGCACAAUUAGCUAUUCAUUGAAGCAAAACUUUGAUUCUGAUUUUCAUCCCCCACAGCUAUGAGUUUAACAGAUGGAUUAGAGAGUUAGGCAAUAGCAAGAUUUGAAAAUUUAUGUACAGCAAAAUGUGUUUUAGGAGGUCAUCACAACUCACUUUUUAGCUGUGUUUUCUCACCCAUGUUCUCCAGUUUACCCCCUCUCAGUUCUCCUUUUGCAGUUGGUGGAUGGGCAUGCAAACCAUGGAGCAUUCCAAAGCCUGGUGCUUCUAACUCCUGUAAUUUCAGCUGUGAUGAAAUUCUGGGACUACUUUGUAGUCCCAGAAACAGUUCCACCAGAUUGAAGGAGGGUGGGGAAACAUAAAGGAGUGUGGAUCAGGCUGAGUGAAUGCCUAGAGGCAGGGACCUCUAGGUAAUUCAUGGGAAACAUAUUAAUGUGGGACUAAAUUAAGAGUGCCCCUGCUCCCUUGUAUUUUGGCUUGAUUAGUAGUAAAAUACAGAAAUGAGUCCACACUAAAAUGCUGCAACAUUUCAUCUGUAUCAGUACAGUCAAAAGAGUACAAAGUUUCUGUAUAGUGUAGCCCUAGAAAUUUAUAGGCUUGUUCAUUGGACAUGGUCCUUACAAAACUGGUAUCCAUAUCCAAGAAUCUUUGCUGUUGGCAGUCCUGGCAGACUGACAGAGUGAAAUCAGUGGAUAUGGAAAAUGAAUUGACUCGGUACUACAAGGAGCGGCUUUUCCAAGGUCAAUAUUUGAAGUGCAUUCCUGGAGAAUUGUAUGCUCCCACCACUGAGGAUGAAAUUUUCUGCUGAUGAAUAAGAAGACCUUGCUGCCCAAGGCUCUCUGUUCAGUAAAUUUCCAUGAAAUAAAAGGAAAAACAAGAACAAAACAAAACAAAACCACCACCGCCACCAAAAAAAAACACUGUGUUUCUAUUUUUAAUGGUGGUCACUUCAAGAUAUAUUAAAUAGUUUUCAGGAGGUUGUUGUUGUUGCUAUUGUUUUGUUUUAAUAGAAAAGAAUGCUUGAAGCUAUAUUGGUAUCGGCAUAAGCAAUAUAAACAUCUUUUAUAUUUUUUAUUAGUGCUUCACGAGUGUCAACAGACACCUAUAUCACUAGUAUAUACUAUAAAAAAUCACUAUACUAAAGAGCUAGUAUAGUGAAUAAAUUAUAUUUUAUUUAUGAAUAGGUCACAGUUCAGAAAAGAUGAAUAUGAAGUUCUACAUGUAGGCAGGACUCAUCAGCUAGUCAGUACAAGACAAGAAACAACUAAGUGGGCAAAAGUUCUGUAGAAAAAGAUCUCACAUUUGGAGUGAAUGACAAAUUCUGCAUGACUCAGUGUUAUGCUACUGCAAACAAGACAAAUAUCCUACUGGGAUAUGUCAACAGGAAUGUAACCUGUAGGAUUAAUCCCUCCAUUCUGCUUAAUACAGGUAAAUCUUCAGCUCAAGUACUCCAUCAAGCUUCAAGAAUGAUGUAAAGCAAUUAUGCAGGGGCCAGAGAAAAGCAAUGAAAUAGGUCGGAGAUCUAGAAAAUAUGGCCUCUGAGGAAGGUAUCUAAGGUUGUUGAGUCUUAAAAAAAAAAUGGUGGAAAAAAUGUCAUAGCAGUCUUUAUGUAGGUAAAUACAUGCUAUGAUGAGAAAGGUAAUAUACUGCUCUCAAACAACAGGUUUCAAGGGCAGCAUGGGACACUGGGAAAAACAUUCUAAAAGAAAGAUUGAUUGGGUGUUUGAGUGGAGUGCAGUGAUGUUGAAUUUCUGUUACUGUAUAUUUUAAAGAAAAGGUUAGACAAACACCUGUCAGGAAUUAUUUAGGUCACUAGGAUAGAUAGAUGAAUGACUCUUCAGUUGCUUUUUCUAACAAUGGUCUCUAUUUUUCUAAGUAUAUGUGUGACUUCUGUUUUUCACAGGGUAGAUUACCUGAUUAUACAUCCAAGAAUAAUAAAAAAAAAAGCUUACACAACUUUUUGCACUGGGAACAAAUACAUACAUUUCUGACUUGCAGUAUUAAAUAACAAAUGGAAAUCUCACAAUAAUGUUCUGGUCUGUUGAAUAAUACAAGGAAGACUACACUUGAAUGAGUCAUUCUGUAUGCACUAGAAGUGUGGAAAAGAAGAGUCAGUUCUUAAUAGCCAAAAAAAAAAAAAAAAAAAAAAAAAGUAGUAAACAUAACUACUGGUAUUGCAGUCAAUUUACGGAAGGUUUUUUUUGUUUUGUUUUGUUUUUGGAUUUAUUUGAUAAAAUAUUUUUUCUAAUAAAGAAAUAUUAAGAGGAUAUGUAAAAGGAACCAAAAUAUUAAAGCAUGGUACUGAAGACUGCAUAAUAUUCUUUACAUUGGAAUAAGAAUGAUUAUUUACUACUUGUGUAAAAAUUCCUCAGAAAAAGCUUAACAGCAUGGCACAGACUUUGGAGAAGUUUAAAGUAAAAAUAAAAAUAAAAAAUAAGAUUAGGUGAAUAUGAAAUAAAUGUAUUAAAAUUGUGUAUGACAUGAAGACCAAGAUCAAAUACUGUGUGCUGCAGGAGACCGAGUGAAUGGACAGUUAAGCAUAGUGAUGUCCUCUUAAGUACUCUCAGCAAUAUAGAUAGGAGAAGAUUUGUAUUUCAUAAUUUGUAUUCUUGAAAAACUUAUAGAAAUAUCUGGGUAUUUUGUUUGUCAAGAAUGAAAGACUGAGCUAUAUUUUCUUUAUUUUAAUUCAGAGAAAGAUAAAUACAAGUCAUAAUUAUCAAACUGAGUAUCACUCUAGGGUAUAACCUUCUGCAGUUUGAUUAUAUCCUGUUGUAUUUGGUCUUACAUCACUUUGUACUGAAAUAAAAAUCAGAAUGAGUUAGAAAGGAAACAAUGAAAAAUAAACAAAGACCUAUUUCAACUUUAAUUUAUUCAUAGCUAUGAGGUAGUGAUAACAAAUUAGGGUUUCAGAUGUUAAGCUGCAUGUGGCAAAGCACCUUAGCAGCCAAUUUAAUGUGUUAAACAAAAGAAGCAACCAGGAAGAACCCCUGGGUCAUACCUUGAAAGCUAGGUUAGCUGAAGACAGCCCAUUUGGGUUGGCUAGCUGAAUUCAAGAC
Molecule: long non-coding RNA, 6056 nt
Organism: Oxyura jamaicensis (ruddy duck)
Lineage: Eukaryota; Metazoa; Chordata; Aves; Anseriformes; Anatidae
Exons: 3
Source: RefSeq, a predicted model, not a curated record